AUGGAAUAAAAAAUAAAUAAAAACAGAAAUCUACAGGAUUCAAAAGUCACUCGACUAUUAAGUAUGGAAGCAAAUCCACUACAAUAAUUAUCUGUAGUUUGUUGUUUACAGCUACACGGCUCAACUGCAUGAUGAUACUGCUUCCCAGAUCCCUGAAUCAAUCAUUCUUAUCAAUUCUGAUGAACUCCUAUAUCAAAAGAUAGGGGUGUGAAGUUCAUCUCAACAUGCAAGAAACCCAUUUACAGAGGCUGAAAGGCAGAACUGAAAUUCUGGGAAGUACUUCCUCCAAUCUGCAGUCAUGGUAAACGAAACAACGCUACGGAAGAGAGACAGAAAGAAAACGACGACAACAUCUGUGCUGCAGAGCCACCUAAAGGCCAUUGUGAUAAAGUGCCCGCCCCUGUGUAUAUUAUCUGUUAUA
Molecule: long non-coding RNA, 421 nt
Organism: Polyodon spathula (Mississippi paddlefish)
Lineage: Eukaryota; Metazoa; Chordata; Actinopteri; Acipenseriformes; Polyodontidae
Exons: 3
Source: RefSeq, a predicted model, not a curated record